AUGCACGCUGGCGGCGUGCUUAACACAUGCAAGUCGAACGGUGAAGCGCCUUCCUUUUUGGUGGGUGUGGAUGAGUGGCGAACGGGUGAGUAACACGUGAGUAACCUGCCCCCUUCUUCUGGAUAACCGCAUGAAAGUGUGGCUAAUACGGGAUAUUCUGGGUCUGUCGCAUGAUGGGUCUGGGAAAGAUAUUGUUUCGGUGGGGGAUGGGCUCGCGGCCUAUCAGCUUGUUGGUGGGGUGAUGGCCUACCAAGGCGGUGACGGGUAGCCGGCCUGAGAGGGUGGACGGUCACACUGGGACUGAGACACGGCCCAGACUCCUACGGGAGGCAGCAGUGGGGAAUAUUGCACAAUGGGCGCAAGCCUGAUGCAGCGACGCCGCGUGAGGGAUGGAGGCCUUCGGGUUGUGAACCUCUUUCGCCAGUGAAGCAGGCCUGCCUCGUUUGUGGGUGGGUUGACGGUAGCUGGAUAAGAAGCGCCGGCUAACUACGUG
This 493-nucleotide ribosomal RNA is filed under the name uncultured bacterium. Its description in RNAcentral is "partial 16S ribosomal RNA". It matches the Rfam family "Bacterial small subunit ribosomal RNA", at positions 29 to 507 of the family's 1533-position model. The record is from RNAcentral.